GGUUAGUAGAGAAGUUGGUGAGAGAGUAAGAUCAUUAUGAGGGUUGUAGUUGGAGUGAGUGCAGGUUUGUAAGUUUGGGUCUUGUUGUGGUUGAAUGUUUCUAGAGAUGGUGGAGUAUGGUUUUUAGAGAGAAGGGGUUGGAUUUUGUACUUUUUGUAUCAUGGGUCAUAGAGAGUAGGGUUAGUUAGUUUUUCCUGAAGGGCUUUGAUCUAUCUUGAUUGUUUGCGGGGUUGCUUUUGAGGCUGCUCUAAUUGCGGUGUGAUGUUGCAGUAUCACGGGUAAGGUCUUGAUAGAUGGUGAAAUGCUUGUCGUAAGGUCUGAUAGCUGGUUAGGUAGGAAGUGCACAUCAGUGCAGCGUGGGGCUAUGUGGUUUUGGGAUUUUUUAUAAGAACCAAGGCUUUUGUCUUAUUGUGAGGUUUUAGGGGAAAGCUCUAAGACGAGGUAAAGUGAGGUCGUAUAGUAGGUAGAGUUGGAAUUGCUCAUUCUAUGUUGAAUUUUUGUCUAAAGUGGUUUUGACAGGGUGUUUGAGGUUGUUACUACCUUGAUAGGGUGAAUUUUAGUUUAUGUAACUAGUAUGAUAUUAGUAGGUUCUGGUUAGUUUUGUGCUGUGGUGCACUGGUUGACGUGAUUUGGUAGUGUCGUAGUUUUCCUUUUUAGGGGGGAGUUUGAUUAUGAUUUAAUGUUUUUUGAGAGGAAAGCAUAGAGGUCGGGUGGAUUAGGUAUAUACCUAUGAAGUUGGGCUUUAGCGAGGUGUAGAAGUUGAGUAGAAAGUGGGAUUAAGGAAUUCGGCAAUUUUUCCUCUCGCCUGUUUAUUAAAAACAUGGCUCCUAGAUUUUUAUAGUAGUAGGGGUCGUACCUGCCCGGUGAGCGAGUUUUUAAACGGUUGCUGUGAAUAAUAGUACUAAGGUAGCGCAAUUGAUUGUCCUUUAAUUGGGGAAGGGAAUGAAUGGUUUGACGUGGAGGAGACUGUCUCGGUCUCACGUGUUGAAUUUUACUUUCGGGUGAAAAGGCUCGGAUUUGUUUAGUAGACGAGAAGACCCCGUCGAGCUUGGUGAGGGUCAGUAAAGGUAAGCUUGGCUUGAUGUUUUGUUGGGAAGACAGGAGGCAAAAUUAACGCAUCUGUGGGUAUAUGAAGAUCCUGUAGUAUGGAUAAGAAGAAAAAGUUACCGCGGGGAUAACAGCGUAAUGUUUUCGGAGAGAUCAUAUCGAUGAAAAAAUGUUGCGACCUCGAUGUUGAAUUAGGGUAUCAUCCCGGCGCAGCAGUUGGGAUUGUAGGUCUGUUCGCCCUUUAAAACCCUACAUGAUUUGAGUUUAGACCGGCGUGAGCUAGGUCGGUUUCUAUCUUUAUUUGAGGUUUUCUUUGUACGAAAGGAUCGGAAAACCGG
RNAcentral lists this ribosomal RNA (1385 nucleotides) under Kuphus polythalamius. RNAcentral describes it as "16S ribosomal RNA". The stretch from base 997 to 1385 matches the Rfam family "Bacterial large subunit ribosomal RNA", at positions 2048 to 2703 of the family's 2925-position model. The record is from RNAcentral. Lineage: Eukaryota; Metazoa; Mollusca; Bivalvia; Myida; Teredinidae.